Molecule: ribosomal RNA, 119 nt
Filed under: Helianthus annuus (common sunflower)
Lineage: Eukaryota; Viridiplantae; Streptophyta; Magnoliopsida; Asterales; Asteraceae
Source: RNAcentral
AGUUGCGAUCAUACCAGCACUAAUGCACCAGAUCCCAUCAGAACUCCGUAGUUAAGCGUGCUUGGGCGAGAGUAGUACUAGGAUGGGUGACCCCCUGGGAAGUCCUCGUGUUGCAACCC